Cimex lectularius (bed bug) is the source of this 883-nucleotide long non-coding RNA. RefSeq lists it as uncharacterized. NCBI's taxonomy places the organism in Eukaryota, Metazoa, Arthropoda, Insecta, Hemiptera, Cimicidae. The record is from RefSeq and is a predicted model, not a curated record. The transcript is spliced from 4 exons.
AUUGUUUUUCUUCUAUUUGCCUCUUUGAUGUAAUUUUAAUUUUGUUGUUACCAAAGAUGUCUUGCGUGAAUAAAGAUGGAAAAGCUGUGGAGUUGCGGAUGACCCAACAAUCAGCAUGAAGGAAGAAAUAAAACAUCGCUAACGAUGUUGAUAACAUCAUGCUGUAAUAUCCGUUUUUCUCGACGAUGUUUCCUUAAUUUGCGAUCAAUUUGUCGUUGGCGGAGAUAAAAAGUUUUUGUUUAGAUCGUUAACGCUCUUUGUGCAAAACGAUGGACAGCACACAAAUGGACCAUGAUCAUAGCAAAGAAGGACGAACUGACUCUAGGAUGCUCCCAUCAAUUUUCCUUGGAGUUUUCCUCGGCUGCGAGCCGCUGGUGACGGCUCAAUUUUCGAAGCAGUACGCAGGGCCGUAUGAUAUCCUAGUUAAAGAAAAGGUCCCUUGCAUUAACCCUGGAACUGACAAAAUGAAGUUUCCAAACAACAAGAUUAAUACUUACAACAGGACACUGAAGAUCAUGUAUUACCUCUGAUGUAAUACUGCCCUGGGGUUUCACCGAUGAUAUUAUAGAAAGGCGUGUUUACCGACAAGGAAUUAGGACCUUUGUGCUCCACACUUAAAAAGUACACAAAGUCCUUGCCUACAUCUAUAGCCAGGUCUAUGGGUUUUCAAUCUUGUCCUAUACCACCUGGGAAUUACACGAUUAAAAAUUGGCCGAUUAGCAUUCAGCCGACACUGUCCAUAUUACCAUAUCACUCAGUCUGCCUCAACUUCACCUUCAUGCGCAAAAAUAUUAAAGUUGGUUGCAUCAGUUUGAAAUGCGAUAUAGUUCCUAAAAAGAAACAAGGUUGACCCUCCCCCCCACCCUAUGAAAUAUUUGAACUA